GAUGAACGCUGGCGGCGUGCCUAAUACAUGCAAGUCGAGCGAGCGGACGAGAAGCUUGCUUCUCUGAUGUUAGCGGCGGACGGGUGAGUAACACGUGGAUAACCUACCUAUAAGACUGGGAUAACUUCGGGAAACCGGAGCUAAUACCGGAUAAUAUUUUGAACCGCAUGGUUCAAAAGUGAAAGACGGUCUUGCUGUCACUUAUAGAUGGAUCCGCGCUGCAUUAGCUAGUUGGUAAGGUAACGGCUUACCAAGGCAACGAUGCAUAGCCGACCUGAGAGGGUGAUCAGCCACACUGGAACUGAGACACGGUCCAGACUCCUACGGGAGGCAGCAGUAGGGAAUCUUCCGCAAUGGGCGAAAGCCUGACGGAGCAACGCCGCGUGAGUGAUGAAGAUCUUCGGAUCGUAAAACUCUGUUAUUAGGGAAGAACAUAUGUGUAAGUAACUGUGCACAUCUUGACGGUACCUAAUCAGAAAGCCACGGCUAACUACGUG
Molecule: ribosomal RNA, 497 nt
Filed under: uncultured bacterium
Lineage: Bacteria
Description: partial 16S ribosomal RNA
Rfam family: Bacterial small subunit ribosomal RNA
Source: RNAcentral